GACGAACGCUGGCGGCGUGCUUAACACAUGCAAGUCGAACGGAAAGGCCUGCUUUCCCUUGUGGAUUGCGGGUACUCGAGUGGCGAACGGGUGAGUAACACGUGAGUGAUCUGCCCCCAACUUGGGUAUAAGCCUGGGAAACUGGGUCUAAUUCCCGAUAGGACUGCAGGGUGGUGCCUGUGGUGGAAAACGAGUUUCUAGUGGUUGGGGAUGAGCUCGCGGCCUAUCAGCUUGUUGGUGGGGUAAUGGCCUACCAAGGCGGCGACGGGUAGCCGGCCGGGGAGGGUGGACGGCCAAAUUGGGACUGGGACACGGCCCAGACUCCUACGGGAGGCAGCAGUGGGGAAUAUUACAGAAUGGGCGGAAGCCUGCAGCAGCGACGCCGCGUGGGAGAUGACGGCAUUCGGGUUGUAAGCUCCUUUCGACCGCGAGGAAGCCACCUGGUUGGAAGGGUGGUGACGGUAGUGGUAGAAGAAGCACCGGCUAACUACGUG
This 494-nucleotide ribosomal RNA is filed under the name uncultured bacterium. RNAcentral describes it as "partial 16S ribosomal RNA". It matches the Rfam family "Bacterial small subunit ribosomal RNA", at positions 28 to 507 of the family's 1533-position model. The record is from RNAcentral.